CCAACGGGAGAAGGGUUGUUAAGGAACUCGGCAAAUUGACCCCGUAACUUCGGGAGAAGGGGUGCUCCAGAGAUGGAGCCGCAGAGAAUCGGCCCAAGCAACUGUUUACCAAAAACACAGGUUUGUGCUAAAUCGAAAGAUGACGUAUACGAGCUGACGCCUGCCCGGUGCUGGAAGGUUAAGAGGAGAUGUGCAAGCAUUGAAUCGAAGCCCCAGUGAACGGCGGCCGUAACUAUAACGGUCCUAAGGUAGCGAAAUUCCUUGUCAGGUAAGUUCUGACCCGCAUGAAAGGCGUAAUGAUUUGGGCACUGUCUCAACAGCCCGCCCGGCGAAAUUGUAGUACCGGUGAAGAUGCCGGUUACCCGCGACAAGACGGAAAGACCCCAUGGAGCUUUACUGUAGCCUAAUAUUGGGUUUCGAUGUUGCAUGCACAGGAUAGAUGGGACACUGGGAAACAGGAGCUUUGGCUUCUGCGGAGUGGCCGUUGGGAUACCAUCCUUGCGAUAUUGGAAUUCUAACCUGCGGCUCUGAAUCGAGUCGGGGGACAUUGUUAGGUGGGCAGUUUGACUGGGGCGGUCGCCUCCUAAAGAGUAACGGAGGCGUUCAAAGGUUCGCUCAGCUUGAACGGAAAUCAAGCAAAAGAGUGCAAACGCAGAAGCGAGCCUAACUGCGAGACUGACGGGUCGAGCAGUAACGAAAGUUGGAGUUAGUGAUCCGGUGGUAUGUGAGUGGAAAUGCCAUCGCUCAACGGAUAAAAGUUACCCUGGGGAUAACAGGCUGAUCUCCCCCAAGAGUCCACAUCGACGGGGAGGUUUGGCACCUCGAUGUCGGCUCAUCGCAUCCUGGGGCUGUAUUCGGUCCCAAGGGUUUGGCUGUUCGCCAAUUAAAGCGGUACGCGAGCUGGGUUCAGAACGUCGUGAGACAGUUCGGUCCCUAUCUGUCGUGGGCGCAGGAUAUUUGAUGGGAGCUGUCCCUAGUACGAGAGGACCGGGACGGACGUACCUCUGGCGCACCAGUUGUUCCGCCAGGAGCAUAGCUGGGCAACUACGUACGGAUCGGAUAAACGCUGAAAGCAUCUAAGCGUGAAGCCGACCCAAAGAUAAGAUAUCCCA
RNAcentral lists this ribosomal RNA (1112 nucleotides) under human gut metagenome. RNAcentral describes it as "bacterial LSU rRNA". It matches the Rfam family "Bacterial large subunit ribosomal RNA", at positions 1687 to 2816 of the family's 2925-position model. The record is from RNAcentral.